RNAcentral lists this ribosomal RNA (873 nucleotides) under Clitopilus prunulus. RNAcentral's name for it is "partial large subunit ribosomal RNA". It matches the Rfam family "Eukaryotic large subunit ribosomal RNA", at positions 66 to 926 of the family's 3401-position model. Lineage: Eukaryota; Fungi; Basidiomycota; Agaricomycetes; Agaricales; Entolomataceae. The record is from RNAcentral.
UAACAAGGAUUCCCCUAGUAACUGCGAGUGAAGCGGGAAAAGCUCAAAUUUAAAAUCUGGUAGUCUUUGGCUGCCCGAGUUGUAAUCUAGAGAAGCGUUAUCCGUGCUGGACCGUGUAUAAGUCUUCUGGAAUGGAGCGUCAUAGAGGGUGAGAAUCCCGUCUUUGACACGGACUACCAGUGCUUUGUGAUGCGCUCUCAAAGAGUCGAGUUGUUUGGGAAUGCAGCUCUAAAUGGGUGGUAAAUUCCAUCUAAAGCUAAAUAUUGGCGAGAGACCGAUAGCGAACAAGUACCGUGAGGGAAAGAUGAAAAGAACUUUGGAAAGAGAGUUAAACAGUACGUGAAAUUGUUGAAAGGGAAACGCUUGAAGUCAGUCGCGUUAGCUAGGAAUCAGCCUUGCUUUUGCUUGGUGUACUUCCUGGUUGACGGGUCAGCAUCAAUUUUGACCGGUGGAAAAAGGCCAGUUGAAUGUGGCACCUUCGGGUGUGUUAUAGCUUCUGGUCGUAUACAUCGGUUGGGAUUGAGGAACUCAGCACGCCGCAAGGUCGGGGUUCGCCCACGUUCGUGCUUAGGAUGCUGGCAUAAUGGCUUUAAUCGACCCGUCUUGAAACACGGACCAAGGAGUCUAACAUGCCUGCGAGUGUUUGGGUGGAAAACCCGAGCGCGUAAUGAAAGUGAAAGUUGAGAUCCCUGUCGUGGGGAGCAUCGACGCCCGGACCAGACCUUCUGUGACGGAUCCGCGGUAGAGCAUGUAUGUUGGGACCCGAAAGAUGGUGAACUAUGCCUGAAUAGGGUGAAGCCAGAGGAAACUCUGGUGGAGGCUCGUAGCGAUUCUGACGUGCAAAUCGAUCGUCAAAUUUGGGUAUAGGGGCGA